CAUCAAUCACUCAACUUCCGGUGCUUUUUUCUCGCACCCUUUAGUUUCGAAGCAGUUCUCUACGUGUCUUAUUUUUGUCAUCCAAUCCUUAGUAGCUCCACAAGAAAACAUUUUAACUAAGUUAUUCAGAGUAGUUUCCAUGUGCUCCUACUUCCAAACAGGCGUAUUUAUUACUUACAGGAGAACUGCUUGUAAUGUCCAAGACAUUGCAUAUAGAAGACCAUUUAUUAGGAACGGACCAGAGUAGGUAAAACACAAUCCCCUCCCAUCCACAGCAGUCUGCCCCAACUGCCAUCUGAACUGCCCACGGCCCCCCAGAAACUGCUGCUCUGCCCAGCCCUGCAUGGGCUGGAAAGGCCCUCCCUGAGGGUCAGAGACGGGGCUCAGGGAAAGGCUAGGAAGUCUCUCCUCAACGUCUCUCACAUGCUUAGCUCCAUGGCUUUGAUGGUCCCUGGAGAAGCAUUUUUAACUCUUCAGUGAACUUCCCCGAAUGCAACACUGUCAUUGUUCUGCCAAGAUUGAAUCCCCAAGGGUUUUGAUCACGAAUCGCUAUCUAAAUUCUAUACCCACGGCAACUCCCUGCUCUCAACUUUGAGUACCGCAAAAAAAUGCUAACUUUGUCUUGAGUUUGUGCCACUUUCCUUUCACUAAUUUCUUUCACUAAUUUUCACUAAUGCAUUAGUUCAGGAACAUUUGUGUGUCUCCCUCGCAUGCACACAGAGCAGCCCGUUGUCCUUUACAAACAGGCACCUCGAUAGAGGAGAUCCAGCAGUCUCUCCAGCCAGGAGCCGGAAGCCCGGACCACGAACGUGAAGGGACCCUGCCCUCAGGCUCCCGAGAGCAAAGCUGCUCGGAAAACAGAAACAAAGGAUUUUCAUUAUUCAGUUCUUAGUUUCUCUAACAUUUUCUCUUUCAACACAGAGUACAUCAUCGCCCAUAACCCAAAAGCAACACUAACUGCCUCACAAGUCCCUCUAGGACUUCAGGUCUAACAAGCUCGUUGGUGAAGAGCACACUGACAACUUGGCUAUUAAAAUGACGGCAGCCAUUCAUGUUUUCUCAGCACUAGUUAUUUGAAGCUCAAUCACUAAUUUAGGGGCCAGAAACAGAAUUCGGCCAUUCCCACCUACACUGCUAACAUAGGAGACCAGCCACACUGAGUCGGGAGUGAAACGAAGGACACGAUAAACACAGAGCAGAAGGCGAUCCGUGCUGUUUGUCUAAAGCCACAUGAACCAUCCAAUAGGGAGUAAAUGAAUUAACUAAACCAAAGGUAGGCUGAGGACAAUUCUUCCAAAAUAAAUGGAUGCUUUUUAUAUUAAAUGGGGGAAUCUUGUUAAUACCAAAUAAUACAUUUAAGAAAAGCCCCCAGAACUAAAAUUUGCCUACUCUUUCUACAGAGAGGCAGGAACACCAGGGCAUAUUAAGAUCAGAUUGGUGUCACUUUGUAAUUUUUGAAAUCUUUCAUUAAUUGUAAAACAUAGCUCUGAUAUGGGUAGAAACAUAAAAACUGUAUUUUAACAAUAAGUUUCAGCAUUUGUACAAUGAAAAAAAGUGUCUGUAUUUCAACUAUGGAGAUUUAUUUCACGUAACUGUCUUUAUAGACCAUCUGGAAAUGUAGAGGUCUUAACAGCAUAAGAAGAGAAGAAGUCUUACUGUGCUGUAUCUAUUUUUCUGAGCCUCUUUUAAUAAAGAUUACAAGAUGGCAUCCAAAAAAA
This is a long non-coding RNA of Equus asinus (donkey), 1718 nucleotides long. Lineage: Eukaryota; Metazoa; Chordata; Mammalia; Perissodactyla; Equidae. The record is from Ensembl.